Molecule: ribosomal RNA, 450 nt
Filed under: Staphylococcus hominis
Lineage: Bacteria; Bacillati; Bacillota; Bacilli; Caryophanales; Staphylococcaceae
Description: bacterial SSU rRNA
Rfam family: Bacterial small subunit ribosomal RNA
Source: RNAcentral
AUGCAAGUCGAGCGAACAGACGAGGAGCUUGCUCCUUUGACGUUAGCGGCGGACGGGUGAGUAACACGUGGGUAACCUACCUAUAAGACUGGGAUAACUUCGGGAAACCGGAGCUAAUACCGGAUAAUAUUUCGAACCGCAUGGUUCGAUAGUGAAAGAUGGCUCUGCUAUCACUUAUAGAUGGACCUGCGCCGUAUUAGCUAGUUGGUAAGGUAACGGCUUACCAAGGCAACGAUACGUAGCCGACCUGAGAGGGUGAUCGGCCACACUGGAACUGAGACACGGUCCAGACUCCUACGGGAGGCAGCAGUAGGGAAUCUUCCGCAAUGGGCGAAAGCCUGACGGAGCAACGCCGCGUGAGUGAUGAAGGUCUUCGGAUCGUAAAACUCUGUUAUUAGGGAAGAACAAACGUGUAAGUAACUGUGCACGUCUUGACGGUACCUAAUCAGA